GACAGGAUGGGAGAGUGGUUAAUCCGCGAGACUUGAAUACCUCCGUCAUACAUGGAGUGCCAAGAUCAUCUCGUCCCUUUGGGGUCGUCAGUUCGAAUCUGGCUCCUGUCG
This is a non-coding RNA of Monascus purpureus, 111 nucleotides long. The record is from the annotation of a GenBank genome assembly. Lineage: Eukaryota; Fungi; Ascomycota; Eurotiomycetes; Eurotiales; Aspergillaceae.